UGGGGAAUAUUGGGGCAAUGGGCGAAAGCCUGACCCAGCAACGCCGCGUGAAGGAAGAAGGUCUUCGGAUUGUAAACUUCUUUUAUGAGGGACGAAGGACGUGACGGUACCUCAUGAAUAAGCUCCGGCUAACUACGUGCCAGCAGCCGCGGUAAUACGUAGGGAGCAAGCGUCAUCCGGAUUUACUGGGUGUAAAGGGCGUGUAGGCGGGACUGCAAGUCAGAUGUGAAAACUAUGGGCUUAACCCAUAGCCUGCAUUUGAAACUGUAGUUCUUGAGUGGUGGAGAGGCAAAUGGAAUUCCUAGUGUAGCGAUGAAAUGCGUAGAUAUUAGGAAGAACACCAGUGGCGAAGGCGAUUUGCUGGACACUAACUGACGCUGAGGCGCGAAAGCGUGGGGAGCAAACAGGAUUAGAUACCCUGGUAGU
Molecule: ribosomal RNA, 426 nt
Filed under: uncultured Oscillospiraceae bacterium
Lineage: Bacteria; Bacillati; Bacillota; Clostridia; Eubacteriales; Oscillospiraceae
Description: bacterial SSU rRNA
Rfam family: Bacterial small subunit ribosomal RNA
Source: RNAcentral